GAUGAACGCUAGCGGCAGGCCUAACACAUGCAAGUCGAGGGGCAGCACAGAAACAGCAAUGUUUUGGUGGCGACCGGCGGACGGGUGCGUAACGCGUAUGCAACCUACCUUUAACAGGGGGAUAACGGAGAGAAAUUUCCACUAAUACCCCAUAACAUCGAUCAAGGCAUCUUGAUUGGUCGAAAACUCCGGUGGUUAAAGAUGGGCAUGCGUUGUAUUAGGUAGUUGGUGAGGUAAUGGCUCACCAAGCCUACGAUACAUAGGGGGACUGAGAGGGUAGGCCCCCACACUGGUACUGGGACACGGACCAGGCUCCUACGGGAGGCAGGAGUGAGGAAUAUUGGUCAAUGGGGGCAACCCUGGACCAGCCAUGCCGCGUGCAGGAAGACGGCUCUAUGAGUUGUAAACUGCUUUUAAACAGGGAUAAAGCACAGUAUGUAUACUGUGUUAAAGGUACUGUAAGAAUAAGGAUCGGCUAACUCCGUGCCAGCCGCCGCAGUAA
RNAcentral lists this ribosomal RNA (502 nucleotides) under uncultured bacterium. Its description in RNAcentral is "partial 16S ribosomal RNA". It matches the Rfam family "Bacterial small subunit ribosomal RNA", at positions 28 to 523 of the family's 1533-position model. The record is from RNAcentral.